Molecule: long non-coding RNA, 147 nt
Organism: Thalassophryne amazonica
Lineage: Eukaryota; Metazoa; Chordata; Actinopteri; Batrachoidiformes; Batrachoididae
Exons: 4
Source: RefSeq, a predicted model, not a curated record
UUGGGCAUUUAAGUACUCCACUCAGCAGUUAGAUAUGGAUGAAAAACCUGACCAAAGUAACCACUUUGAUUUUUUUGGUACCAGUGACACAUACUUGUGUACCCUGACUGUUAAACAGCCUAUUUUUGCUGAGGAGAAAAUGGUGGC